RNAcentral lists this ribosomal RNA (133 nucleotides) under uncultured bacterium. RNAcentral describes it as "partial 16S ribosomal RNA". The record is from RNAcentral.
UACCGUCACGUCUACAUCAUUUUAAUAACAUAGAUUCUUCUUCCCUCUCCAACAGGGCUUUACGACCCGAGGGCCUUCAUCACCCACGCGGCGUCGCUGCGUCAGGGUUUCCCCUAUUGCGCAAUAUUCCCCA